Molecule: transfer RNA, 65 nt
Filed under: Dipodomys ordii (Ord's kangaroo rat)
Lineage: Eukaryota; Metazoa; Chordata; Mammalia; Rodentia; Heteromyidae
Rfam family: tRNA
About the family: Transfer RNA (tRNA) molecules are approximately 80 nucleotides in length. Their secondary structure includes four short double-helical elements and three loops (D, anti-codon, and T loops).
Source: Rfam by way of RNAcentral
GGUGGCUCAGUGGUAGAGUACUUGCCUUGCAUGCAUGAAGCCCUGGGUUUGAUUCCUCAGCACCG